Molecule: ribosomal RNA, 253 nt
Filed under: uncultured bacterium
Lineage: Bacteria
Description: partial 16S ribosomal RNA
Rfam family: Bacterial small subunit ribosomal RNA
Source: RNAcentral
UACGAAGGGGGCUAGCGUUGCUCGGAAUCACUGGGCGUAAAGCGCACGUAGGCGGAUUGUUAAGUCGGGGGUGAAAUCCUGGAGCUCAACUCCAGAACUGCCUUCGAUACUGACGAUCUCGAGUCCGGGAGAGGUGGGUGGAACUCCGAGUGUAGAGGUGAAAUUCGUAGAUAUUCGGAAGAACACCAGUGGCGAAGGCGGCUCACUGGCCCGGUACUGACGCUGAGGUGCGAAAGCGUGGGGAGCAAACAGG